RNAcentral lists this small nuclear RNA (23 nucleotides) under Arabidopsis thaliana (thale cress). RNAcentral's name for it is "snRNA_18916". Lineage: Eukaryota; Viridiplantae; Streptophyta; Magnoliopsida; Brassicales; Brassicaceae. The record is from RNAcentral.
AGUUUAGCAAUUCUAAGUAAGAA